CCUACGGGAGGCUGCAGUGAGGAAUAUUGGUCAAUGGGAGAGAUCCUGAACCAGCCAAGCCGCGUGAGGGAAGACGGCCCUAUGGGUUGUAAACCUCUUUUGUCGGAGAACAAAUCCCGGUACGUGUCCCGGACUGCGUGUAUCCGACGAAAAAGCAUCGGCUAACUCCGUGCCAGCAGCCGCGGUAAUCCGGAGGAUUCGAGCGUUAUCCGGAUUUAUUGGGUUUAAAGGGUGCGUGGGCGGUCCGUUAAGUCAGCGGUAAAAUUCCGGGGCUCAACCCCGUCGAGCCGUUGAUACUGGCAGACUUGAGUUGGCGAGAGGUAGGCGGAAUGCGAGGUGUAGCGGUGAAAUGCAUAGAGAU
Molecule: ribosomal RNA, 361 nt
Filed under: uncultured bacterium
Lineage: Bacteria
Description: partial 16S ribosomal RNA
Rfam family: Bacterial small subunit ribosomal RNA
Source: RNAcentral